RNAcentral lists this ribosomal RNA (117 nucleotides) under Gossypium arboreum. Lineage: Eukaryota; Viridiplantae; Streptophyta; Magnoliopsida; Malvales; Malvaceae. The record is from RNAcentral.
UUGAGUGUCUGCAAGCACUAAUGCGCCGGAUCUCAUUAGAACUCCGCAGUUAAGUGUGCUUAGGCGAGAGUAGUACUAGCAUAGGUGACCUCUUGGGAAGUCCUCGUGUUGCACCCC